AAAAAAAAAAAAAGGUCAUGGUGAGACGUGGAAGUUGUGGGCAUGGUGUCGCCUUUAACGUGAAAGGUUUUUUCCGGAAUGAUAAGGCUAUCGGAUAUUAUGCUCCCAUCUCAUUUCAAACAAUAUUUAUAGCUGCUGCUAAUGGCUCGCCGACUCAGCUCAUUUUAAAUAUGUAAAACCUGAUUCUUUGGACUGUCUGCGGCAGCAGAGAUCGGGAUGUAAAAACGGCACUUACAUAUUAUGACCUUACAAAGUUGACAUGUUAAGAGCAAAUGGAGAAAGGGACAAAUGCCUUUUAGUUGUAAUGUCUCAGUUCUAAAUUCAAUUAAAUUGUAAUGACUUAUUACAGUUUAACAUGAAACUCCAGUAGCUAUGUUGAAUACUGAUUCAUGUAGUACUCAUGGUAUUGAAUGCUCAAUAUCAUAAAUCAACUGAACUCAAGCACUUGGAUCAAAGGGAAUAUGGACAUUUGUGUGUUUGCCUAACUUUCUCAACUAAGACCUCAAUAAAGAGAGCAGGGCAUGGGCUUUUCCUGAAACUCGAAUUUCUGGUUUUGCGCAAUGUCAGAUAAAGUAUAAAAGGGGAGCGGGAGCAGAGAAAGACUGCAUAUAGACUGAGAUUCCAAACCAGAAGGAUGAAGAAGAUUGCAGUCCCGCUCGCCACAUUCAGCAGCUGUCUAUGUGAAAAGCAGGUCAAUGAAAAAAAUGACAAAGUCCAUCAGUGCAGAACAUCAGCCAGCUGCUGAGAAAUCUACUCCCUCACUUCCAUAAGCCAAAACCUGGGAGCAGUGGAAGAGAAAAUCACAAACAUGGUGGAAAAAUUUAGUGUUGCAAAACGCUGAAAAAGAAGUCCUUUAGCUACGGAGCCUUACUGGAGGCACGCCUCAGGUGGCCUUUUCUGCAGCUCUCAGGGAAUCUGGCACUGGAAACAUUGGACCUUUCACCACUGCGACCCCACUGCGCUACAAGACACUGCCAAUAGCUACAAUCCUUCAACAGGCAUUUUCAUGGCAAUGGUCAAAGGGAUUUACUUCUUUCGAUUCUCAAAGUUCAACAACUUAAGUCCUGCUCCCAACUCUGUUGUGAGCCUUGUGCAGAGCGGUCAACGGCUGAUUUCUGUCUGGGACACCUCGGGGUCCUCUGGGCUGCAACGCUGUGGUCACCCCCCUCGAGGUGGGAGACAAUGUGUACGUAGAGCUCCAGGCAAACAGGAUUGUCUAUAAUGAUUCCAUGAACUACAACAGCUUCA
Xiphias gladius (swordfish) is the source of this 1248-nucleotide long non-coding RNA. RefSeq lists it as uncharacterized. Lineage: Eukaryota; Metazoa; Chordata; Actinopteri; Istiophoriformes; Xiphiidae. The transcript is spliced from 3 exons. The record is from RefSeq and is a predicted model, not a curated record.